CSGAGUAYCACUGAGGCGUCGGACUGGCCCAGAGAGGUGGGCAACUACCACUCAGGGCCGGAAAGCUCUCCAAACUKGGUCAUUUAGAGGAAGUAAAAGUCGUAACAAGGUCUCCGUUGGUGAACCAGCGGAGGGAUCAUUACCGAGUUUACAACUCCCAAACCCCUGUGAACAUACCACUUGUUGCCUCGGCGGAUCAGCCCGCUCCCGGUAAAACGGGACGGCCCGCCAGAGGACCCCUAAACUCUGUUUCUAUAUGUAACUUCUGAGUAAAACCAUAAAUAAAUCAAAACUUUCAACAACGGAUCUCUUGGUUCUGGCAUCGAUGAAGAACGCAGCAAAAUGCGAUAAGUAAUGUGAAUUGCAGAAUUCAGUGAAUCAUCGAAUCUUUGAACGCACAUUGCGCCCGCCAGUAUUCUGGCGGGCAUGCCUGUUCGAGCGUCAUUUCAACCCUCAAGCACAGCUUGGUGUUGGGACUCGCGUUAAUUCGCGUUCCCCAAAUUGAUUGGCGGUCACGUCGAGCUUCCAUAGCGUAGUAGUAAAACCCUCGUUACUGGUAAUCGUCGCGGCCACGCCGUUAAACCCCAACUUCUGAAUGUUGACCUCGGAUCAGGUAGGAAUACCCGCUGAACUUAAGCA
RNAcentral lists this ribosomal RNA (639 nucleotides) under Fusarium oxysporum f. sp. vanillae. RNAcentral describes it as "eukaryotic LSU rRNA". The record is from RNAcentral. Lineage: Eukaryota; Fungi; Ascomycota; Sordariomycetes; Hypocreales; Nectriaceae.